This 458-nucleotide unclassified non-coding RNA is filed under the name Hevea brasiliensis (rubber tree). Lineage: Eukaryota; Viridiplantae; Streptophyta; Magnoliopsida; Malpighiales; Euphorbiaceae. The record is from RNAcentral.
UCCAAGCAAAAGCCAGGCGAAGACAAGCAAGAAGAAGAAGACUCAGCUUAGAGUCAUUCAAAGUGGAUUUGUUCUGUGGCAGAUGGUUUCAUGCCUUUUUUUUUCUUUUUCUUUUUUCUUUUUCAAUUAUGGUUUAGGAAUCAAAAUUUUAUAUCUACUAUUUGUGUUAUUCCCACAUGCAGUUUGUCUCUUAGAAUCUGUUUGGGGAGUCACUUCUGGCGCUGUUGUAGAGGAAAACUUGCAAAUCUGAGAUGAUUUAUAGUUAUGAUCCCUGUUCACUUUUUUAUUGAUUUUGCGGGCAACAAGUGAUUAGGAUGUUACUCAUAUUGUUUAACAAUAGAUCUGUUGUAGCUGGCCGAUAGAAAAGAUUUUUGUGCGUUAUGAGCCACAAUCUGAUCUACCUGAGCAGUAGCUUUAUUUUUGCCCGCUGUAGUACCGUGUACUGAAUUUAGAGAUUU